RNAcentral lists this long non-coding RNA (706 nucleotides) under Rosa chinensis. Its description in RNAcentral is "sRNA RchiOBHm_Chr5g0061281". Lineage: Eukaryota; Viridiplantae; Streptophyta; Magnoliopsida; Rosales; Rosaceae. The record is from RNAcentral.
GUUCAGUUCUUAGUCACAUUCAAAAAAAGAUCAAAACUGUAUCAUCUAUUCGAUCUUAGAUAUUCAUUCUACUUAUAGUCAGUCAUAAAGAUCAACUUCGAGUGGCAAAGGCAUAGAGUAAUUUCUGAGGCAGCAUGUAUAAAGAUCAAGCUCAUAUCUGUUCCCAAUCAACUAUCCAUAAAGUAGUAGUUCAUUGGCAUUUGUAUGUGCUCAGGCAAUGUCUUUGUGGCAUUGUCUGUGAUCAGUAAAAAAGAAGUAGAAUUCAUUGGUGUUUGUAUGUGCUAAUGCAUUGUCUAUUAUGAGUGAAAGUAGAAUUCAUUGGUACUUGUAUGUGCUCAUGCAUUGUCUAUUAUGAGUGAAAGUAGAAUUCAUUGGUACUUGUAUGUGCUCAUGCAUUGUCUAUUAUGAGUGAAAGUAGAAUUCAUUGGUAUUUGUAUGUGCUCAUGCAUUGUCUGUUUUCCAUACUACUAGAUAGGCUACAGCAGUAGGUUUUGUUUCGAACAUGAUUAGCAUUAAGCAUAGUUUCUGAAACCAAGAGGAGGAGUAGUCAACUUUGGUCUACAAUUGGCUAGGCCAUUUGUUUUACCUUAAAGCAGUAUGCUUUGAUUCAAUUGUGGACAGCAGACUUGAAAACCCAACUUUCAAAGUUGACAUAGACCAUAAAGGUUCUCUUCUUUCUCCCCAUCUGUCUUUUCGCUGCUAGUGA